AGUGAACGCUGGCGGUAGGCCUAACACAUGCAAGUCGAACGGCAGCACAGUAAGAGCUUGCUCUUACGGGUGGCGAGUGGCGGACGGGUGGGGAAUACAUCGGAAUCUACUUUUUCGUGGGGGAUAACGUAGGGAAACUUACGCUAAUACCGCAUACGACCUACGGGUGAAAGCAGGGGAUCUUCGGACCUUGCGCGAUUGAAUGAGCCGAUGUCGGAUUAGCUGGUUGGGGGGGUAAAGGCCCACCAAGGCGACGAUCCGUAGCUGGUCUGAGUGGAUGGUCAGCCACACUGGAACUGAGCCACGGUCCAGACUCCUACGAGAGGGAGCAGUGGGGAAUAUUGGACAAUGGGCGCGAGCAUGAUCCAGCCAUACCGAGUGUGUGAAGAAGGCCUUCGGGUUGUAAAGCCCUUUUGUUGGGAAAGAAAAGCAGCAGGUUAAUACCCCGCUGUUCUGACGGUACCCAAAGAAUAAGCACCGGCUAACUUCGUG
RNAcentral lists this ribosomal RNA (492 nucleotides) under uncultured bacterium. RNAcentral's name for it is "partial 16S ribosomal RNA". It matches the Rfam family "Bacterial small subunit ribosomal RNA", at positions 29 to 507 of the family's 1533-position model. The record is from RNAcentral.